GGUGCCAUAGCUCAGUUGGUAGAGCAAUGGACUGAAAAUCCAUGUGUCGCUGGUUCGAUUCCAGCUGGCACCA
RNAcentral lists this transfer RNA (73 nucleotides) under Bacteroidota bacterium. RNAcentral's name for it is "tRNA-Phe". It matches the Rfam family "tRNA". Rfam says of the family: Transfer RNA (tRNA) molecules are approximately 80 nucleotides in length. Their secondary structure includes four short double-helical elements and three loops (D, anti-codon, and T loops). Lineage: Bacteria; Pseudomonadati; Bacteroidota. RNAcentral also lists the same sequence under 1 other name. The record is from RNAcentral.